This 382-nucleotide long non-coding RNA is filed under the name Pogona vitticeps (central bearded dragon). Its description in RNAcentral is "lncRNA (ENSPVIG00000019378.1)". The record is from RNAcentral. Lineage: Eukaryota; Metazoa; Chordata; Lepidosauria; Squamata; Agamidae.
CAGAUACAGAGUGAGGAUUUGAACAGAUACACCCUUCCUCAUUUACUGAAGCUCUUGUUAUUCCACUCACUAAUGAAAUUGGUAUGGAGGAUACACAGAAACUAGGAGCUGCCUUAGAUUCUAAAAGACAACAGUGUCCUGGAGCAAGUCUUCAGUUUGGCAAUGAAAAUGGGAUAUAGUGUCUGGGAUUCUAGCAGUCUGAUGAGUUUGAAAAUGACAGUUUCUGUGUGCAAAAGAUGUCACCUGCUGCCUUUUGAAUCCUGCAUUGUUUCCCAUAAAACCCACACUGAAGUGUUUGAGCACCCACCCCACAACGAGAUGGUGACACCUCUUGCAUGUACUACAUAAGCAGCUAAACAACUUUAACAGUUCAAAAAGCAGG